This 873-nucleotide ribosomal RNA is filed under the name uncultured archaeon. Its description in RNAcentral is "bacterial SSU rRNA". It matches the Rfam family "Archaeal small subunit ribosomal RNA", at positions 47 to 925 of the family's 1478-position model. The record is from RNAcentral.
AGCCAUGCGAGUCGAAUGUAGCAAUACAUGGCGUACUGCUCAGUAACACGUGGAUAACCUACCCUUGAGACGGGGAUAAACCCGGGAAACUGGGUAUAAUACCCGAUAGAUCUCGACUGCUGGAAUGCAUCGAGCUUGAAAGCUCCGGCGCUCAAGGAUGGGUCUGCGGCCUAUCAGGUAGUAGUGGGUGUAGCGUACCUACUAGCCUACGACGGGUACGGGUUGUGAGAGCAAGAGCCCGGAGAUGGAUUCUGAGACACGAAUCCAGGCCCUACGGGGUGCAGCAGGCGCGAAAACUUUACAAUGCUGGAAACAGCGAUAAGGGGACCUCGAGUGCCAGGUUACAAAUCCGGCUGUCGUGAUGCCUAAAAAGCAUUGCAUAGCAAGGGCCGGGCAAGACCGGUGCCAGCCGCCGCGGUAACACCGGCGGCUCGAGUGGUAACCGUUAUUAUUGGGUCUAAAGGGUCUGUAGCCGGCCGGAUAAGUCUCUUGGGAAAUCUGGCAGCUUAACUGUCAGGCUUUCAGGAGAUACUGUCUGGCUCGAGGCCGGGAGAGGUGAGAGGUACUUCAGGGGUAGGGGUGAAAUCUUGUAAUCCUUGAAGGACCACCAGUGGCGAAGGCGUCUCACCAGAACGGACCUGACGGCAAGGGACGAAAGCUAGGGGCACGAACCGGAUUAGAUACCCGGGUAGUCCUAGCCGUAAACGAUACUCGCUAGGUGUCGGCCACGGUGCGACCGUUGUCGGUGCCGUAGGGAAGCCGUGAAGCGAGCCACCUGGGAAGUACGGCCGCAAGGCUGAAACUUAAAGGAAUUGGCGGGGGAGCACCACAACGGGUGGAGCUUGCGGUUUAAUUGGACUCAACGCCGGAAAG